Molecule: long non-coding RNA, 832 nt
Organism: Biomphalaria glabrata
Lineage: Eukaryota; Metazoa; Mollusca; Gastropoda; Planorbidae
Exons: 3
Source: RefSeq, a predicted model, not a curated record
GCUGUGCUCAAGGCUGAUGUCCUAUGUGUUGGUCAUGUCCUCUUGUAAAUAAACACAUAAAUCUCGUUGGGUUGCCUCCCUUAUGUUAUUACAAUACAUGCAUUAAAUUGUUGAACGUACACUCUAGUUGUUAGCUCAUAUUAGGGAUUCCCGAGACAAUUUUUGUAAGGUCACAACUACUGUCAUCUUCUGCAUCAAGUCUACUUCUUUAUUUAGACUUCAUGACUAAAAAGUGUUGACAUAGACUCACAACCCAUAGAGACAGAUGGAUCAUGUUGUUUACACGUUUGGAAAUGAUGAUCAGUCUACUGGAAAUUUCAAUGAUUCAGCCAACUGCAACUGAGAGAAAAUUAGGCUACAAACAAAAUGUUGCGCCACUAGCAACUGAUGAACUUCUUUAUCUUCUCCUAGUUCAUCUUUAUGCUGCAUAAACUGUUUAAAAAGCACUCUAUCUUUGACAUCUAAGAGACAAAGAGGCUUUGCAAAUCCCUUUGAAGUUUAUUGUACUCAGUGCGACAAAGUUGUUUGGUAGGAUUAGACGUCACAAAAAGCUGCAAAUGCUUUUUUUUUUCACGUCAACCCAAAAAGAAGUGUUCUUGCAUGUAAAGAGAGUGGUAUUAACUUUGCUAAAUCGUCCUCCUUUUGUGGAGGUAUAUCAAUUAAUCAGCAUUUGUACCUGAAAACAUUUUUGAAUUUAUCAAAAAAAAAAAAAAAAAAAUAAGCACUUCUUGAAGCAGCAGCAAAAAGCAUGAAUAAAGCAGCUGAUUUUGUCAAAACCAUAGUAAGUAGACCUUUUCAUGAUAGGGCUAGUUUAACAGGCAGUACUUUGAUA